This is a long non-coding RNA of Orcinus orca (killer whale), 1967 nucleotides long. RefSeq lists it as uncharacterized. Lineage: Eukaryota; Metazoa; Chordata; Mammalia; Artiodactyla; Delphinidae. The transcript has 4 exons. The record is from RefSeq and is a predicted model, not a curated record.
UCCCAUGAGAAGAGUUUGGUUUCAUGAGAAACAGUCAAACUGUCUUCCAAAGUGGCAGCACCUUCUGCAUUUCCCACCAGCACUGAAUGAGCGUUCCUGUGGCUCCACAGCCUCACCAGCAUUUGGUGUUGUCAGUGUUCUGGACUUUGGCCUUUCUAAUAGGAUGAAGACAGUGAUGAAGAUGAUGAUGAUGAUGAUGAUAUAACAGUGAUGCUGUGACGCCGCUGCUGUGGCUGAUGACGGUGAUGUUAGCAACUGUAGCAGAUGCUGUCAAUGGCCCACCCUAUCUCCAUGGUCCACCCUGGAGCUUGGCUGCUGACGGCUUCCUGCACUUCUGAAGCCUCAGGGUUUCUCUGGCCACAGCGGCCAGCCUGGUCCUGCUGGGACAGAGAUCCAGGCGUGUGAAAUCAAGAAUGUGCAACUGGUGGUUUGCCUCAUGGUCAAAUAUGGCUGCUGAAACUCCGGACAUCAACUCUGUGUUCCAGGGAGGAAGAAAGGGACUGGGAGUGUAAGAAGAACUGCUGAUGACUCUCACUGUUCUUAUAUAGGCCAAGGUUGCCCUACUGUAAGCCCCCAUGACUCUGCCAGGAGAUUCACUCUCAGCUCAGGAACAGGAGCUGAAAACAGGAAGUACCCUCAAGCAGUCCUCAGAGAUAAACAAGAGCUGGCGGAUAAAUACCUCAGCUUCUUCGCCUCCUGGUGGGAUAAGUCUGAGAGGUGUGUUCUGCACCAUUUCCCCGAAGGUCCCAGCAGCACCGAGUCGUUGCCCACAGCAGUGACUGCCCAUCCGUGUGCUCUGCACCGUUCCUCCCUUUCUCCGACUCACCUCCCCAUGGCGCUACUCUGAAAAAAUCCAUUACGCUUGCAUCCUUGACUCAGAGUCAGCUUGUGAGGGAACCCAGUCAAUGACAGGGGACAGGGCAGAAGGGGCACCCCCGGCUGUCUGUCCACCUCUUAAGGAGCCCCUCCUCCCACAGCUCCAGUAAGCAUCCACGCUCAUUUCAUUGUGCUCGAGCUGCAAGGGCAGCAGGGACCCGUAGGCCAUUAGCUGGGAUCUGUUGCUCAGGAAGGAGGUGGGGAGCGUGGCCAUGGGGCGGCAGCCGGCACUCUCUGCCGCCGUGAAAGAAGGAAGAAUUAUGGAAAGUUUCCGCCUUCCUCUGGGACCAGAUCUGACAAGGACCCGUCAAGUCUCUUGGACACUUCCUGAGAAAUGAAUUCAUUUAUUUCAUUCCACCAAUGUUGGCUGAAACCUACUGAGUGCUCGGCUCUGGAAUGCCAUCGAGAAGAAGACACGGUUCUCACUGGUGUGAGGUGAUACCUCCACUUAGAAUGGGCAUCGUCAGAAAAUCUACAAACAACAAAUACCGGAGAGGGUGUGGAGAAAAGGGAACCCUCCUGCACUGUUGGUGGGAAUGUAAAUUGAUACAGCCACUAUGGAGAACAGUAUGGAGGUUCCUUAAAAAACUAAAAAUAGAACUACCAUAUGACCCAGCAAUCCCACUACUGGGCAUAUACCCAGAGAAAACCAUAAUUCAAAAGACACAUGCAGCCCAAUAUUCAUUGCAGCACUAUUUACAAUAGCCAGGACAUGGAAGCAACCUAAAUGCCCAACGACAGACGAAUGGAUAAAGAAGAUGUGGUAUAUUGGAAUAUUACUCAGCCAUAAGAAGGAAGGAAAUUGGGUCAUUUGUAGAGACGUGGAUGGACCUAGAGACUGUCAUACAGAGUGAAGUAGGUCAGAAAGAGAAAAACAAAUAUCGUAUAUUAACGCAUAUAUGUGGAACCUAGAAAAAUGGUACAGAUGAACUGGUUUGCAGGGCAGAAAUAGAGACACCGAUGUAGAGAACAAAUGUAUGGACACCAAAGGGGGAAGGAGGCGGAAGUGGGGUGGUGUGAUGAAUGGGGAGGUUGGGAUUGACAUGUACACAUUAAUAUGUGUAAAAUGGAUAACUAAUAAGAACCUGCUG